RNAcentral lists this ribosomal RNA (468 nucleotides) under uncultured bacterium. Its description in RNAcentral is "partial 16S ribosomal RNA". It matches the Rfam family "Bacterial small subunit ribosomal RNA", at positions 28 to 507 of the family's 1533-position model. The record is from RNAcentral.
GACGAACGCUGGCGGCGUGCUUAACACAUGCAAGUCGAACGGUGAAGCUCCAGCUUGCUGGAGUGGAUCAGUGGCGAACGGGUGAGUAACACGUGAGCAACCUGCCCCUGACUCUGGAAUAAGCGCUGGAAACGGCGUCUAAUACUGGAUACGAGAAGUGUCCGCAUGUGCACUUUCUGGAAAGGUUUUCGUUUGGGGAUGGGCUCGCGGCCUAUCAGCUUGUUGGUGAGGUAAUGGCUGCCCAAGGGAACGACGGGUAGCCGGCCUGAGAGGGCGACCGGCCACACUGGGACUGAGACACGGCCCAGACUCCUACGGGAGGCAGCAGUGGGGAAUAUUGCACAAUGGGCGAAAGCCUGAUGCAGCGACGCCGCGUGAGGGAUGACGGCCUUCGGGUUGUAAACCUCUUUCAGCAGGGAAGAAGCGAAAGUGACGGUACCUGCAGAAGAAGCACCGGCUAACUACGUG